CAGUCGCCACGGUAAUACGAAGGGGGCUAGCGUUGUUCGGAUUUACUGGGCGUAAAGGGCGCGUAGGCGGACUGAUAAGUCAGGGGUGAAAUCCCAAGGCUCAACCUUGGAACUGCCUUUGAUACUGUUUGUCUUGAGUUCGAGAGAGGUAAGUGGAACUGCGAGUGUAGAGGUGAAAUUCGUAGAUAUUCGGAAGAACACCAGUGGCGAAGGCGGCUCACUGGACGACUGUUGACGCUGAGGUACGAAAGCGUGGGGAGCAAACAGGAAUAGAGACCCCUGUAGUCCCUGUCUCUUAUAC
This 301-nucleotide ribosomal RNA is filed under the name uncultured bacterium. RNAcentral's name for it is "partial 16S ribosomal RNA". It matches the Rfam family "Bacterial small subunit ribosomal RNA", at positions 509 to 807 of the family's 1533-position model. The record is from RNAcentral.